CGUGUAGGUGGUUCUGUAAGUAGGGCGUGAAAGCUCCCGGCUCAACUGGGAGAGGCCGUUCUAAACUGCAGAGCUAGAGGAUGGUAGAGGGAGGUGGAAUUCCAGGUGUAGCGGUGGAAUGCGCAGAUAUCUGGAGGAACACCAGUGGCGAAAGCGGCCUCCUGGACCAUUCCUGACACUCAGACGCGAAAGCUAGGGUAGCAAACG
This 207-nucleotide ribosomal RNA is filed under the name uncultured bacterium. Its description in RNAcentral is "partial 16S ribosomal RNA". It matches the Rfam family "Bacterial small subunit ribosomal RNA", at positions 568 to 774 of the family's 1533-position model. The record is from RNAcentral.